AGAGUUUGAUCAUGGCUCAGGAUGAACGCUGGCGGCGUGCUUAACACAUGCAAGUCGAACGGACCUGAUCUUCGGAAAAGGUUAGUGGCGCACGGGUGAGUAACACGUAGGUGACCUGCCCUGGAUGGGGGAUAACUUCUCGAAAGAGAGGCUAAUACCGCAUACGCUCGGCCAUUCGGUUGGUCGAGUAAAGCUCCGGCGCUCCAGGAGGGGCCUGCGUCCGAUUAGCUAGUUGGUGAGGUAAAUGGCUCACCAAGGCGAUGAUCGGUAGCUGGUCUGAGAGGACGAUCAGCCACACUGGCACUGACACACGGGCCAGACUCCUACGGGAGGCAGCAGUGAGGAAUAUUGGUCAAUGGGCGAAAGCCUGAACCAGCAACGCCGCGUGAGGGAUGAAGGCCUUCGGGUCGUAAACCUCUUUUCUGGGAGAAGAGACAAGGACGGUAUCCCAGGAAUAAGUCUCGGCUAACUACGUG
This 476-nucleotide ribosomal RNA is filed under the name uncultured bacterium. Its description in RNAcentral is "bacterial SSU rRNA". It matches the Rfam family "Bacterial small subunit ribosomal RNA", at positions 8 to 507 of the family's 1533-position model. The record is from RNAcentral.